Molecule: ribosomal RNA, 439 nt
Filed under: uncultured bacterium
Lineage: Bacteria
Description: partial 16S ribosomal RNA
Rfam family: Bacterial small subunit ribosomal RNA
Source: RNAcentral
CCUACGGGAGGCAGCAGUGGGGAAUAUUGGACAAUGGGGGGAACCCUGAUCCAGCGACGCCGCGUGAGUGAAGAAGUAUUUCGGUAUGUAAAGCUCUAUCAGCAGGGAAGAAAAUGACGGUACCUGACUAAGAAGCCCCGGCUAACUACGUGCCAGCAGCCGCGGUAAUACGUAGGGGGCAAGCGUUAUCCGGAUUUACUGGGUGUAAAGGGUGCGCAGGCGGCGUGUCAAGCAAGCGGUAAAAUAGCGGGGCUCAACCCCGUCGAGCCGUUUGAACUGGCGCGCUUGAGUUCAGGCGAGGUAGGCGGAAUUCGUGGUGUAGCGGUGAAAUGCAUAGAUAUCACGAAGAACUCCGAUUGCGAAGGCAGCUUACCAGUCUGCGACUGACGCUCAGGCACGAAAGUGUGGGUAUCGAACAGGAUUAGAUACCCCUGUAGUC